CGCCUGUUUAACAAAAACAUGUCCUUUUGUUUGUUUAUUUAAGGUUUAACCUGCCCCAUGAGAAAUUUCUUUAAUGGCCGCGGUAUUUUAACCGUGCUAAGGUAGCAUAAUCAUUUGUCUUUUAAUUGGAGGCUUGAAUGAAGGGUUGGACGAGAUAUUAGCUUUCUUUAAUUUAAAUUUUGAAUUUAACUUUUUAGUUAAAAGGCUAAAAUGUUUUUGAGGGACGAUAAGACCCUAUAGAUCUUUAUAAUAUUUUAUAUUAAAAAUUUUAGUUAAUUUUUUUUUAAUAUAAUUAUCUUAUUUGGUUGGGGUGAUUGCAGAAAUUUAAUAACUUCUGUUUUUUAUUUCAUUAAUUAAUGUAUAAAUGAUCCAUUAUUAUUGAUUAUAAGAUUAAGUUACCUUAGGGAUAACAGCGUUAUUUUUACGGAGAGUUCUUAUCGAUGUAAGAGUUUGCGACCUCGAUGUUGGAUUAAAAUAAGUGUUAGGCGUAGCUGUUUAAUAACUAGGUCUGUUCGACCUUUAAUUUUUUACAUGAUCUGAGUUCAGACCGG
RNAcentral lists this ribosomal RNA (551 nucleotides) under Rasahus sp. JZ-2016. RNAcentral describes it as "partial 16S ribosomal RNA". It matches the Rfam family "Bacterial large subunit ribosomal RNA", at positions 1797 to 2619 of the family's 2925-position model. Lineage: Eukaryota; Metazoa; Arthropoda; Insecta; Hemiptera; Reduviidae. The record is from RNAcentral.